UGCUGCUUGCCUCAGGAUCACACAGA
RNAcentral lists this non-coding RNA (26 nucleotides) under Mus musculus (house mouse). Lineage: Eukaryota; Metazoa; Chordata; Mammalia; Rodentia; Muridae. The record is from RNAcentral.